AGAGUUUGAUCCUGGCUCAGAACGAACGCUGGCGGCAGGCCUAACACAUGCAAGUCGAACGAAGUCUUCGGACUUAGUGGCGCACGGGUGCGUAACGCGUGGGAAUCUACCCUUAGGUGCGGAAUAACAGUUAGAAAUGACUGCUAAUACCGCAUAAUGACUCCGGUCCAAAGAUUUAUCGCCUAAGGAUGAGCCCGCGUAAGAUUAGCUAGUUGGUGAGGUAAAAGCUCACCAAGGCGACGAUCUUUAGCUGGUCUGAGAGGAUGAUCAGCCACACUGGGACUGAGACACGGCCCAGACUCCUACGGGAGGCAGCAGUGGGGAAUAUUGCACAAUGGGCGAAAGCCUGAUGCAGCGACGCCGCGUGAGGGAUGACGGCUUUCGGGUUGUAAACCUCUUUCAGCAGGGAAGAAGGCCUUCGGGUGGACGGUACCUGCAGAAGAAGCGCCGGCUAACUACGUGCCAGCAGCCGCGGUAAUACGUAGGGCGCAAGCGUUGUCCGGAAUUAUUGGGCGUAAAGAGCUCGUAGGCGGUUUGUCGCGUCUGGUGUGAAAACCUCAGGCUCAACCUGGGGCGUGCAUCGGGUACGGGCAGACUAGAGUGCGGUAGGGGAGACUGGAAUUCCUGGUGUAGCGGUGGAAUGCGCAGAUAUCAGGAGGAACACCGAUGGCGAAGGCAGGUCUCUGGGCCGCAACUGACGCUGAGGAGCGAAAGCAUGGGGAGCGAACAGGAUUAGAUACCCUGGUAGUCCAUGCCGUAAACGUUGGGCACUAGGUGUGGGGCUCAUUCCACGAGUUCCGCGCCGCAGCUAACGCAUUAAGUGCCCCGCCUGGGGAGUACGGCCGCAAGGCUAAAACUCAAAGGAAUUGACGGGGGCCCGCACAAGCGGCGGAGCAUGCGGAUUAAUUCGAUGCAACGCGAAGAACCUUACCAAGGCUUGACAUGCACCGGACGCUGCCAGAGAUGGUAGUUCCGCAAGGUCGGUGCACAGGUGGUGCAUGGUUGUCGUCAGCUCGUGUCGUGAGAUGUUGGGUUAAGUCCCGCAACGAGCGCAACCCUCGUCCCAUGUUGCCAGCGGGUUAUGCCGGGGACUCAUGGG
RNAcentral lists this ribosomal RNA (1099 nucleotides) under uncultured Cellulomonas sp. RNAcentral describes it as "bacterial SSU rRNA". It matches the Rfam family "Bacterial small subunit ribosomal RNA", at positions 8 to 1145 of the family's 1533-position model. Lineage: Bacteria; Bacillati; Actinomycetota; Actinomycetes; Micrococcales; Cellulomonadaceae. The record is from RNAcentral.